Molecule: small RNA, 414 nt
Filed under: Histoplasma capsulatum var. duboisii H88
Lineage: Eukaryota; Fungi; Ascomycota; Eurotiomycetes; Onygenales; Ajellomycetaceae
Description: Histoplasma capsulatum H88 hypothetical RNA
Source: RNAcentral
AAAUCAUUUUUAAUAUUGCCACAUUCCUUCAAAGAAAGAAAUUCCCCGUUUCUUAACUUAUCAUCCAAGGUUCCAGGCUUUGAUCUGAAGAGACACUAUCUUACUGAUCAUCUGGUAGUUCGAACCAUAGGACAUCAAGGAUGUCGACAGGAUGAAUUUUGAUCUUUUCUUUCUUUUGACUGUCAGGUUCCUCCUCAAAGCCGAGUCUUGGCGGCUUUCGAAGUCACUUCUUAAAAAAAUAAUACAUGGGAAGGGCCAGAGCUCUUCAAAAAGUGGCUCUGCUACAUCCGAGAGAGAAGCCAAAGCGAGUUUACGACGGAGCAGAGUGGAACAGGUCAUGUUUGCGCGAAGCUAUGGAAGAUGGAGGGCGAGUUCUACAAGGGGAACUUCCGUCGCGUGUCAACAUUAUAAACC